RNAcentral lists this unclassified non-coding RNA (914 nucleotides) under Hevea brasiliensis (rubber tree). Lineage: Eukaryota; Viridiplantae; Streptophyta; Magnoliopsida; Malpighiales; Euphorbiaceae. The record is from RNAcentral.
AAAAAAACACAAAGGCAUAUCCAAUAGACCAAUAGUACAUAUCCAAUCAUCAAGUUGCUGAAUUUAUAUUUUCUCCAAGUCAGCAUCUCCUAAAUCUACUGAAUUCCCUAUUCUGAAUUUAUUUGCUGGAAUUGCCUCAAGGUCCUCAAAAGAGAAUCUGCUAGUAUUAAAUCUCUAGUAGCAAAGGAUGGCCAGAUCUGAAAAAACUUUUAUGUAAUAUGAUUCAAGUUUUUUAAAUGGUUGAGGAAAAAAUAUUUGUGAGAUUAUACCUUAUCUACGCUUAUAUAAAUUUUUGCAUUUAAUGGAUAGCUUUAAAAAUUUUUUUCCCAUUCACCAAAUUGUUAACUUUCAAGGAAACUCUAACAAAAAUAAUUUUUGAAAAAACAUAUUUAAGAUGUUGGCAAAACUCUCCAUAUAUAUUCUAACUAAACAUGAUUGCAUAUUAUACAGGGAAAUAACUAGCACAACAACUUAUUCUAUCUAUUUAUAUGGCAGCUAAUGGGGUAGAUGCCCACAUCAUAUGUUGAACACAACCAUCCAUCAUUGUAUCCAUAGCAUACAGAGCAUAUUACCCCUCAUUGCAAACUAGCCAUUAGAAACGGGGUGUCAAGUACUCAAUACCAAGGCCAGCACAUGGCUUAGGGGCAUGCAAAUGCAAUGGCCAAGGCACAGAGGCAGGGCUGCCACAUGUCGCCAUGCCUAUUUCCAUGCUCAAGGCCAGGACAUGGGGGUAUUGGAAGCUGCGGUAGUUAACUCCCCAAAGGAUAUGAAAUACACCAAUACCACUCUGUGGUAAAAUAACAUAUAAAAUUAGAAGAUAGAAAAUCAGACUUUUAUUUAAGGCUAUUUUCCCAUACUGAAUUUACAAACACAAUCUUGAAUAAAUCCUAAGUAAGAAGGAAUAGAAAAUCUUA